CUCUUAGAUGUUCUGGGCCGCACGCGUGCUACACUGAGUGGAUCAGCGGGUCAGGUUGCGCGAAAGUGUUUCCUAAUCUUGAAAUCCGCUCGUGAUGGGGAUUGACGGUUGCAAUUUUCCGUCAUGAACGAGGAAUACCUUGUAAGCGCGGGUCAUCAUCCCGCGCUGAAUACGUCCCUGCCCUUUGUACACACCGCCCGUCGCUCCUACCGAUUGAGUGGUCCGGUGAGGCUUUGGGAUCUGAGCGGAAAGAGCGUUUCGCUGUUUCUGCUCGGAAAACUCAGUCGAACCUUAUCAUUUAGAGGAAGGAGAAGUCGUAACA
Molecule: ribosomal RNA, 322 nt
Filed under: uncultured eukaryote
Lineage: Eukaryota
Description: partial 18S ribosomal RNA
Rfam family: Eukaryotic small subunit ribosomal RNA
Source: RNAcentral